CGCGAUUGGUAUGCGUCCGUUUUUAUUGUCGCUUUAUAAGUGACAGUGCGCGACAGUAAACAGACGACGUUUUCCUGGUCUUCGUCUUUUCACUACAGACCCAGGCUUCCCGUUUGUCUCAGUUUAAGGCUUUGGAGUUUGAGAAUUUCAUACGAUACGUGUUGACACUGCAGCGUCAAGAUGUCGUACAUGCUACCGCAUCUCCACAACGGCUGGCAGGUCGACCAAGCCAUUCUAUCCGAGGAGGACAGAGCCCUGGUCAUUAGGUUUGGACACGAUUGGGACCCAACAUGUAUGAAAAUGGACGAAGUAUUGUACAGUAUAGCUGAAAAGGUGAAGAACUUUGCAGUCAUCUAUUUGGUGGACAUCACAGAGGUGCCGGACUUCAACAAGAUGUACGAGUUGUAUGAUCCUUGCACCGUCAUGUUCUUCUUCAGGAACAAGCACAUCAUGAUAGAUCUGGGGACUGGUAACAACAACAAGAUCAACUGGACCAUGGAGGACAAGCAGGAGAUGAUUGACAUUGUUGAGACCGUUUACCGAGGGGCGAGAAAAGGACGAGGUCUGGUCGUAUCUCCUAAGGACUACUCCACAAAAUACAGAUACUGAUUGGUUCUUCCCUUUCCAUUGCUUUGUGUGAAGCCCAAUGGGAGCAAAUCUGUCCUUUCAUUAUGAGACUUUCUAGACAGCUGGACUACAAAAAGGCUCAGAUCGAGGUGUCCUGCUCUCUUUUAUGUUAUAGCCAAGUCAUCUUUUUUCAACAGCAGUUAUAAAAACCAUUUGGUGUCUUUGAUUUAAUAAAUGUUAUGCUCAUAUUUUAUAUUGCCAUUUAGUUAUCACUUCACAGCCUGUAUUCUUGGACCCAGAUUGAUUAUUAAGUCAAGGACUAGCUUCUUUCUCAAUAAGGAAUCUCCAUUGAAAGUGUGUUUUUAGUGUAGGACUAGGCUUAAUCUGGGUCUGGAAAAUUGGCCCAUAUGUUUAAUCUGUAUGUAUAUGUGACUUGUUUCUUCUGAAAUGCUAUGGGUAGUGCUGCGAUGACAGGAAGAUCGAGGAAAGACUUGGAAUUCUUUUGUAUUAUAGUUUUUUCUAUGUAUUGUGUUUACAUUGUAAAAUCCCCCACAAAUGACAUCCCGUUAAAUGAGAAAGCAUAUGCCAUAGGCUGUUACAUAACAAUAGAUCAGUAAUAACCUGCCUAUGUGUGGCCUUUUGUCAUGCCACAUCUGUCUUUAGUGGAACCUCAGAAAUCAAGUGAAGUUAGCUGAUCUGAUAUGUGUUAACCUGAUGGCUUGGUCACUUAGGAGUCUGCUGCUCAUCCAUACCAGCCUGGGUCAUGAGGUCGGCAACAUUCUUCUCCAGGUCAUCAAUUCGAGUCCCCAUGUCAUCCAGUGGGUUGGUUAAGGGCAGUCUUGAAAUAUAUGUAGUUAUACACUGUGUCUAGGUUGUACAUUAAACAUUUAUUUAUAGAGCAAAUAAAUUAAAUUCAUAUUUUAUUCUCAAAUCCACUAGAUUAGGACUUUCAUAUAAAGCCUUUUUAAUCUGAUUAAAAAAAUAGCUGCAAUUUU
Oncorhynchus mykiss (rainbow trout) is the source of this 1562-nucleotide non-coding RNA. The record is from RefSeq and is a predicted model, not a curated record. NCBI's taxonomy places the organism in Eukaryota, Metazoa, Chordata, Actinopteri, Salmoniformes, Salmonidae.